This 253-nucleotide ribosomal RNA is filed under the name uncultured bacterium. RNAcentral describes it as "partial 16S ribosomal RNA". It matches the Rfam family "Bacterial small subunit ribosomal RNA", at positions 524 to 776 of the family's 1533-position model. The record is from RNAcentral.
UACGUAGGGUGCGAGCGUUGUCCGGAAUUAUUGGGCGUAAAGGGCUCGUAGGCGGUUUGUCGCGUCGGGAGUGAAAACCUUGGGCUUAACUCAGGGCUUGCUUUCGAUACGGGCAGACUAGAGGUAUGCAGGGGAGAACGGAAUUCCUGGUGUAGCGGUGAAAUGCGCAGAUAUCAGGAGGAACACCGGUGGCGAAGGCGAGGUGCUGGACCCCAUCUGACGCUGAGGCGCGAAAGCCAGGGGAGCGAUCGGG